CAGUCGCCACGGUAAUACGAAGGGGGCUAGCGUUGUUCGGAUUUACUGGGCGUAAAGCGCACGUAGGCGGAUCGAUCAGUCAGGGGUGAAAUCCCAGAGCUCAACUCUGGAACUGCCUUUGAUACUGUCGAUCUGGAGUAUGGAAGAGGUGAGUGGAAUUCCGAGUGUAGAGGUGAAAUUCGUAGAUAUUCGGAGGAACACCAGUGGCGAAGGCGGCUCACUGGUCCAUUACUGACGCUGAGGUGCGAAAGCGUGGGGAGCAAACAGGAUUAGAUACCCCGGUAGUCCCUGUCUCUUAUAC
RNAcentral lists this ribosomal RNA (301 nucleotides) under uncultured bacterium. RNAcentral describes it as "partial 16S ribosomal RNA". It matches the Rfam family "Bacterial small subunit ribosomal RNA", at positions 509 to 807 of the family's 1533-position model. The record is from RNAcentral.